UUAGAAUUUGCAAAAGGAGAAUUUGGCCUAAUACCCUUGUUUGAAACGUGUUAAUGAAAUUUAUCCACCUUGAUUGAAUUUUUUUUGUUUUACCCUUUCAUUUUCAUCUAUUCCCAAAUUACCAUUUUCAAAUAUCAAAAAGGAAAAAUCAAGCCCUAAAUGGAGCAUGACGAAGAAGGAGAAGAAGAGAAAGUGAGAAAGAAUGGCAAAAGGGCUUGGGAUGACCAAAGAGUUCUUUAGGAGGAGGGACGGAAGUCAAUAAUCAUGGUUUAGAUGGUUUCUUCCUUGUUGAAUCUAAGAUGAAAGUGUAGGGAUUAAAGCGUGGAACUGAAAGGCUAUCUAGGAAUUUGCAGGUGAUGUAUGCUUUGUCGUUGGACAAGUCAAAUCUGGCUGUUUCAAAAUAUCAGGCUGAGUACAUGGAUGCUAAAGGCUUAGCAGAACCAAACCAUCAAACUCCAGAGGGUUGUCAACGUCUCUCUUGAGUACCCUUUCAAGGAUCUUGGGAUUGCUGAAAACAUUAUAUUACAAGGCUUGAGCAAUAAUUCUUACCUUUGUUUUUUAAGGAUCACAAUGAUAACUAGUGUACCUGCUGGAAGUGGCAAAUUGAACUAUGGAGUGAGUGACUUGAAGGAAAAAUGUUGUAGAAGAUCUUCAUGGAUCACCAGCAUGACUUUUAGCAUAUGCAUACAGAAAGAAAUUUCAUGAUAUGCUAAGGAUCUUAGUACUAAAAACAGUUUACAUGUACUAAAUCUUACCAGCUAGGGGGUCAACUUAAAAAAGCUCACAUAUGAAGAAAGGAAAAACCAGUUAAUUGAAAGAUUGACUAAAUUUGGGCAGUGGCAUAAAUUUUCAAAGAUAAUGCACAUGCCGUAUAGAGAAACCUGGCUUUCCUUGUGUCCAUGCAAUUGCAGCAUGUAAGCAUCAACAUAUUUCUCCAUAUAUCCUUUAUUCAGCGCAUUACUCAGUUGACUCACUCCGUGACGCAUAUUCGGAAACCAUAUAUCCACUUGGAGAUAAAUGUCAGUGGCAUGCUCUAGAUGAUGUCAUAAACCAGCUUGUACUUCCACCUAAGAUUGGAAAACAGUCAGGAAGACCAAGAAAGAAGAGGAUUCAAUCUCAAGGAGAGGAGCAUCAUCAAUAUAGAUGCAGGAGGUGCAAACAGAUUGGUCACCGCAGCCGAUCAUGCUCAGCCGCCAGACCUCUUGAUAGCACUGCCAACCAACAACACCAUUCAACUGAAGGACCAUAAAUUGCUCUACGUUAUAUUAAGACAAUGAGGGCAUGUUAUGUGGUAUGCGUGUGUUAUGCAAUGUAGUAAGGAAUGCAAUUAGUAGCUCAACCGCGUAACGUGUGUUUUGGCAUAAUAGACGUUGGUUUUAU
Ziziphus jujuba (common jujube) is the source of this 1380-nucleotide long non-coding RNA. RefSeq lists it as uncharacterized. The record is from RefSeq and is a predicted model, not a curated record. The transcript has 5 exons. Lineage: Eukaryota; Viridiplantae; Streptophyta; Magnoliopsida; Rosales; Rhamnaceae.